This 253-nucleotide ribosomal RNA is filed under the name uncultured bacterium. Its description in RNAcentral is "partial 16S ribosomal RNA". It matches the Rfam family "Bacterial small subunit ribosomal RNA", at positions 524 to 776 of the family's 1533-position model. The record is from RNAcentral.
UACGUAGGGUGCAAGCGUUGGCCGGAAUUAUUGGGCGUAAAGAGCGUGUAGGCGGCCCGAUUAGUCCGCUGUGAAAGUCCAGGGCUCAACCCUGGAAUGCCGGUGGAUACUGUCGGGCUAGAGUCCGGAAGGGGCGAGUGGAAUUCCUGGUGUAGCGGUGAAAUGCGCAGAUAUCAGGAGGAACACCAAUGGCGAAGGCAGCUCGCUGGGACGUGACUGACGCUGAGACGCGAAAGCGUGGGGAGCAAACAGG